ACCUAAGGAGUACGCUUUCAUCAGUGAAACUUAAAGGUUCUGGUGGUGGUUUAGAGCAAUAGUGGAAUAGAUUCUUUAAUUCGAUGUUCUGCGAUAAAGCUUAUCAGUAAGAUCCAAUCAUCUCAGGAGAUGGAACUAUCUUGACCACAUGUUAAUGAUACUGUAGUGCAUGGCUGUUUGUGGGGAAUGUUUUGUAAUCGUUAAUGGCUGUUUAUAAGAGACAAUACCCGAUAGACUUUAAGCUAGAGAGAAGAACGGCGAGUCAUUAUGCUCUUUUUUUCGGAGCUAGAGAUCUGUUACAA
RNAcentral lists this ribosomal RNA (302 nucleotides) under Tripos fusus. RNAcentral's name for it is "partial Bacterial small subunit ribosomal RNA". It matches the Rfam family "Bacterial small subunit ribosomal RNA", at positions 871 to 1230 of the family's 1533-position model. The record is from RNAcentral. Lineage: Eukaryota; Dinophyceae; Gonyaulacales; Ceratiaceae.